Long non-coding RNA from Oreochromis niloticus (Nile tilapia), 1274 nucleotides. RefSeq lists it as uncharacterized. The transcript has 3 exons. Lineage: Eukaryota; Metazoa; Chordata; Actinopteri; Cichliformes; Cichlidae. The record is from RefSeq and is a predicted model, not a curated record.
UGAUCAGAGUAGAAUGGUUUAGUCCAAACAGGGAAGUGUGGUGGUCCAAUUCAUUUGCUGUCUUUUGACUUCCACACAAAGGGAAAAGUGUAGUUUCCUCAGUCCUAUGUUAACCAAGUUAGCAUUUGGUGCUAAACAUCUCACAACAACACCAGCUAACAUGAUGACGUUAGCUGCUGUUGCUAACGUAAUCUUUUAACUUGGUUCAAGUCACGGGAACAUAGGAUGGCUGUGGCUCAGGUGGUAGAGGUGUCUACCAAUUGGAAGAGCACACAGAGGUGAGCCUGGAGGUCAGAACAGUGAAGAGCAGCCUUCUCACCUCUUAGGUGAAAGUGGAAGGAGAAAAGAAUGGAGAAAUGGACGGAGAAUGGAGAAAAGAAUCAAACAGGGUAAUGCUGGGAGAACACCUUGGGGCAGAUCCAGAAACAGCUAUACAUCUGGAAGCUUCUCAGGAUCCUCCAGAGAAAAACACACUAUCGCGACUAAAUGGAAAACGAUGGAUGGAUGAAUAGAUGGAUGAAUGCACUUAGCUGCUGAAUAACCGUGACACAUACCAAAAAAAACCCUAAUUUGUCAAAACAUGUCAUGAAUGCUACAGUAUAUUACAGAAGCUGGUAAAUAUCCAUACACUGAAAUGUCUGAAUGAGUAAAUUCAGCUUGUAAAUAGAGUUGUUCACAAACAGUACUGCAAAUGACGUGCACUUAAUCCAACCUGCCAAAAGUUUCUCACUUCAAGGAAAUACUAACAGGAUCUGGCAAAAAGUCGUGUAGUCUCUGUCAACAAGUCAAAGAAACAUAAUGAUAAGGAGUGAUUAGGGAUUUGCUUCCACUGCUGUAUGAACAGUAUGUCAGCAUUGUUUUGAUCAUACCUUUUCUUGCUCUGACUAAGUAGAAAAGUAACUGAUAGAGGCAAACACUUUGAAAACUACACAUGCCGCUUCCUCUCCUUUCUCCAUCUGUCUCUCACACACACACAGUACAAUGUUCACUCCGGAGUAUAUGCAAGCCACAGGAGCAAGCCCCAUUUUUAAGGUGGAAUGCCAGUCGAUGUGAGCAGAUCCAUCAGUGUUCGUCUCCCACUGAGAUACGGAGAUGAUGGAUGGAUCUAAUGGAUUGAUUUAAGACUCAGCUCCCCGUACUGGCUCACUGUAUAACUGAGUGAAUGCGAGAGCAAAUAACUUCAGCUGGUGGGGAAUGCAUUUAUACCGUGCACUUCCUCAACAGCUCAUCCGGCUCAGUUCAUCCAUCACUCCGGCUGAUUGUCAUGUUAGGCU